Molecule: transfer RNA, 71 nt
Filed under: Streptomyces sp. CB03911
Lineage: Bacteria; Bacillati; Actinomycetota; Actinomycetes; Kitasatosporales; Streptomycetaceae
Description: tRNA-His
Rfam family: tRNA
About the family: Transfer RNA (tRNA) molecules are approximately 80 nucleotides in length.
Source: RNAcentral
CCUUUCGUAGCACAGUGGCAGUGCGCCGGGAUGUGGCCCCGGUAACCCCGGUUCGACUCCGGGCGGAGGGA